UGAAGGUGUAGCUCAGUGUUGGAGCUCUUGCUUAGCCUGUGUGAGGCCCUGGGUUCAAUCCCCAGCACUGCAA
Molecule: transfer RNA, 73 nt
Filed under: Marmota monax (woodchuck)
Lineage: Eukaryota; Metazoa; Chordata; Mammalia; Rodentia; Sciuridae
Description: tRNA.Ala
Source: RNAcentral